RNAcentral lists this ribosomal RNA (459 nucleotides) under uncultured bacterium. RNAcentral's name for it is "partial 16S ribosomal RNA". It matches the Rfam family "Bacterial small subunit ribosomal RNA", at positions 339 to 795 of the family's 1533-position model. The record is from RNAcentral.
CUACGGGGCGCACCAGUGAGGAAUAUUGGUCAAUGGGCGAAAGCCUGAACCAGCCAUGCCGCGUGAAGGAUGACGGCCCUAUGGGUUGUAAACUUCUUUUAUACGGGAAGAAACACCUCUACGUGUAGAGGUUUGACGGUACCGUACGAAUAAGCAUCGGCUAACUCCGUGCCAGCAGCCGCGGUAAUACGGAGGAUGCAAGCGUUAUCCGGAUUUAUUGGGUUUAAAGGGUACGUAGGCGGAAACUUAAGUCAGUAGUGAAAUCCCGCAGCUUAACUGUGGAACUGUUAUUGAUACUGGGUUUCUUGAAUAUUGUUGAGGUAGGCGGAAUAAGUAAUGUAGCGGUGAAAUGCUUAGAUAUUACUUAGAACACCGAUUGCGAAGGCAGCUUACUAAGCAAUUAUUGACGCUGAGGUACGAAAGCGUGGGGAGCGAACAGGAUUAGAUACCCCUGUAGUC